Molecule: long non-coding RNA, 4277 nt
Organism: Brachypodium distachyon (stiff brome)
Lineage: Eukaryota; Viridiplantae; Streptophyta; Magnoliopsida; Poales; Poaceae
Exons: 5
Source: RefSeq, a predicted model, not a curated record
UUAAUUUAAAGGGCUAAUCUGUCCACGUGGCUGGAGAUAUCCCGAGAGAUCAGGUUUCUUGAGAUUAUUUUCCUGUCCAACUUGUCCAGGCAACAGGCGUCCUGCGUCCAGGGCUCCAGGCCUCACAAACAUACGGGAGUGGCGCUGACGCCGACGGGAUAAACGGUCGAUGCUGCGUACGACAAUGGACACCAGCCAUUGCCUGUUGGUCACUCCGGAGGAAGCGCGACGGCGCCAUCCACGGGCCAGAACGAACUCGGCGCCCAGGCUCGGACGUGUGUUUGUGCGAUCGAUCUGGGCCAGCAACCGCGACGGGCUCCUCGUGGUUAUCCGGUUGAGUCUCGUUGAUCCGAUCUGCUGCUCCGGUAGUCCGGUGGUGGCGUGGGGUGCGAUGACAUCUCUGAUUCUCCAGCCGCAACCUGUUUGAUGAUAUGCGUCUGUGGGUUCUGCUCGGAGAACUCGCAUGCCUUGCCUGCGCCAAGCACUCUUGCCAGGGUUGUAGGUGCACACGGUGGAGCCAAUAGGAGGAUGGAAUACGGCUUGCGGUUAUUUUUCUAGAGUUGUAGAAGUUGAGAGCGUAUUGAUCACAUAACCUGAUCAUUUAUCUCAGAUGGGAAAUCUAAUUAAGUUAGUGCGGCCUGUUUGUCAAGGGGAAUGUUGAUGCAAAAACCUGAUUUGACUGAAUGCUUAUGAAUUUCCUGGUUCAGAGUUUGUGUUGUUGGACUCAGAGGAUUAUAGAGUCAGCUCUGCUAGACAAUUACCUCUGUCUCGUUGGUGGCAUUGCAUGGACAGGUGUCCUGGACCAAUCAACAUACAGUAAUGCACUUAUUUUGAAAAGGUUUCUGGGAAAACCUUGUAUUCUUUGUGGGUAUGGGGAGUGCUGCACUGUGUGACUUGUACGGAAGAUUUCAACCACGACCUUUGCGUCUGAAUUGUUUCAGUGUCCAUUUUCGAAUCCAUCUGUACUAGACAUAUCUGUAUACAAGGGUGUGGACGAUAUCUUGGUAUGGAGGUGCUUCAGAAGAUAAAUAUGAUGGUAAUCCGAAACCCCUUUGUUAUAAUGGUACAUGUAUGAUAAAUGUCAUGCUAGUUUCAUGCUCUUGCUUGGAUCAUUAUGUGUUAGGAUGUUCAGAUUGUUGGUGUUACCACAUGCAAGUAGUUAUGCAUGAUACCCUUUAUUGAAGUAAAGUAGCAUGUUCAAAGCAUAUUGAAGACCAUGAUAGUAUCCCUGUGAAAGGGAACUGAAGUUUUGCUUUAGGGGUGCUCAAUGGCAGAUAUGUUUUAGAUCAUGGUUUUAUUAGGAAAAAACAAAAUUAUUAUGCAUCUAGAGGCCCCAAAUGAUGAAUUGUUGAGGAAAACGCACCCAACUAAAUAAUUAUUUAUAAAUGCUGGAAAUGCCAAGCAUAAGCCUACAUGUUCUUUUGGGGUGUGAAAUCUGGAUUUUUUGUGAAGCAAUCAAAUCAAUCAUAAAAAACAGUUCGAUUAUAUUUCUAUUGAUUGACUACUAUUGAAAAAAAGACUACUAUUGAAAAAGCUAUAGGAGAGGCUUAUAGUAAAACGUAGUGUUAGAACAUGCUUGUAACUCCCACGACAUUCUUUUCUAGCUUUUACUAUUAGUUUGUCUGUUGCAAUCACGCAUAGGCGGCUUUUGAUUUGGGAGCACUUAAGUACAAACCAUAUAGAAAAACUGGAAUGUCACGAAGUAAACUAAUACUAAGGGCUGGAAGGUCUCAUCCAACAGCUCCUUGCACUAAAAAUAGUCCGAUCUUUUUUGGAAGAAAAAUAGAUGGAUUACAAAAUGCAAAUGAAUGUCGCUGUUGGAAGAGUAAUGCAACAACUUCGACACAAACCCUAACAUCAGACCCUUGACAGUGCGCUGUUAUCAGUGAAUAUCUGGGGGAAAAUAAAGUACUCCCUCCGUCCAACAAAGGAUGUCUCAACUUUGACUAAAUUUGAAUGCAUCUAUAUGAAAAUGCACAGACAUGAAAACUGUUGUUUUCUGCAAUAAUAGCUGACCAUAUGGAGCAUUGCAGCAAUAUGGUUCAACCAGAUAGCUUUGUCUUAUGCUUGAGCACACUUAAUCCAGUCUAUGCAUAAUUACAGGCCAAACAGUGAAUGUAAAUUCAAUAUUACCGUUUCAAGCAUUUUACCUGCUUAAAAUGGUUUACUAGGACAGUUUUAUUCACUCAACCCUGCUAUGGAAAAAUGCAAAUUACUAGUGUCGUAAGGAAAACGUUUGUUAUGUAUUCUACUGGUACAAGAGAAGUUAUGCAACUAUGCGAAGCUUACAAAAAGAUAGACCUAUCAAUUGUAUGUAAGAAAACAUUUCUAUAUGUUUGAUUUCUCACUAGUCACUCUACAAGCCUCGGGUUAUUAUACAAACAAAGUGGAUUGAGGUUACAGAGUAUCUGGUAAAUUAUGGAGAAUGCAUGUUUUCUCUUGUUCAAAUUGCUCUCAUGAAAGUUCAUGUGUCAGUGUCACAGUAGAGGAACCCAUGAGGCAUGAGCUAUGUGUGGUCCAGUCUUACUUGUAAGUUAGUCCAUUUAAUUGGUAUAACUCUAGACCUUUGGCAUUCCUGCUAGUUGAAAGGGCAGCCAGGGUUAGUGAACAUCGUUAAUUUUAUGAUAGUAGUGAUAAGUGGUUCUUUCCCUAUAUUACCACCAAUGUCACAAUCUGUGAGUUGUGCACUCCUUUUUUUUACUCCACUAAAUAGCCAUGGCAUAUUUUCCUGAAAUUAUCUUGGAAUACAGUAUUUGUCACGAGCUCCAAUUGUACUAUAAGAAACGAGCUGUUGUAAGCGUGUCUCCCUUUGUUUUCUACAUUUCAUUAUUAUAGUUUUUAUUUUAUUUUAUUCCCUUUUUUUAUGCUUCAAUCAUCUUGCUUCUUUGCUACUACGAAAUGUUCCUUGAACUGGCUCUAUGUGGUGGCCAUGAAAAUCAGUUAUUUGGGUCUACUUAUUAAUACAACAUUUUGAGGUAACAGAAAGCGAUCUCCAGAGGUAAGCAGAUCCACUUUCUGAUAAAAAAAAUUCCAAGAAAAAGGAAAUCACCCCAUCACAGAAUUUUAGUCUCUGCCAAUAGCUUGUUAGCAUUCAGCUUGUUGCAGCAGUGCACAUUACUUUUUACCCGCUACUUUUUCUGCUUGAUCAGUAAGGCCUUUAACUUUCACCGGGCCAUUUUCACGCUUUUAUCGUGCAUGUUUAGUAGAUAUAGCUUAGUUUUCAACUGGCGCAGAUGAUAUCUUUGCACCCUUUUUUGCCCUGAGUACAAGCACAACUAUACUCGAAAAAUAAUAAUAAUAGAUGCACCUUUUACCAUGUUCUCUGUGGAAACAUCAUUUUCUUUUCAAUUUUAUGGGCACAACUAUAUUUGGAGUCCGCAUAUCCAAAGUAACCAAAGCUCCGGCAUUCAAAGAGGUGUAAUACUUGAUGGCGCUGAUCACACAAGCACAGCGCAAUACCUGAAUUAGGUCUCCCAGGUUCUGCUCCAUAUCACAUAGUACCUUCUGAAAGGUCUGGCUUUAUGAAAAGGAAUGCCUGUUAGUUGGAGCAUAUUUAGUAUAUGUCCCUGGCUGCAAACUGAUCCCUUGACAUCGGGGUUGUGGCAAUUGCUGACUAUCUCUUUGGAGAUGACGAUUCUUCCGGCACCUUGUAUGCGCAUGGUAUCCGCCAGUUGCAUCAGUUACAUUUUUACAAGGAGAUGCUGAAUAUGAUCACAGACCCAUGAGCCUGAACAGAACAUUUCAGGAACCACGAUAACUGAGCUCCAGAUAUUGAUAAUGACAUGGUGUUACUGGUAUGUCAUGUUCUUAAGCAAUGAUGUUCCAUAGUUGUCUAACAUUCUCUUGUGAGACAUGUAGGUUAUUAUAACAGUAUUCGGGGUUCCCUACUUGCAUGCUUCAUAUGGGAUAAGGUUUACCUGUGCCCAGUGCCCCAGUUCAAUGAUUCUGCAUUUCUGCUACUCUAGUACUCUACAGACUACAGUACAGCAGUCGAUUUGAAGUAUGCAAUAUUUUAGCUGCCCGGGCAUCAACCACAAGGAGCAUGCCGGUGAACUACAGCAUAAUAUUUGCAGACCUACUCUUGCAGUCCAGAUGGGAGCACAGGACGCACCCUUCCUCGGUUCAAGAAAAAUGCCUCAUGCAGUGCGCGAGCGCGGUACAACAGGAGGUAAUUAAUUAUAACAGCAUGGAUCACUAGUAGCUCUCUCUCUUUGUACGUUUAUACCGCCCCGGGAUUAUGAUAUGUUUUGCCUUAUUGCGACAUGCACAUCAUGCCA